Molecule: ribosomal RNA, 179 nt
Filed under: uncultured bacterium
Lineage: Bacteria
Description: partial 16S ribosomal RNA
Rfam family: Bacterial small subunit ribosomal RNA
Source: RNAcentral
CCUACGGGAGGCAGCAGUGAGGAAUCUUGGGCAAUGGGCGAAAGCCUGACCCAGCGACGCCGCGUGGAGGAAGAAGGCCUUCGGGUCGUAAACUCCUGUUCGGGGAGAAGAACAGGAGGGAAGUGAAUAACUUCUCUCCCUGACGGUAUCCUCGGAGAAAGCUCCGGCUAAUUACGUGC